AGAGAGAGACAUGCGUGCAUAUCAAUAAGCGGAGGAAAAGAAACUAACAAGGAUUCCCCUAGUAACGGCGAGUGAAGCGGGAAGAGCUCAAAUUUGAAAUCUUAAAGGGUUUCCCUUUACGAAUUGUAGUUUAAAGAAGUGUUUUCUGUUGAGGUUUUGGUAAAAGUUCUUUGGAAUAGGACAUCAUAGAGGGUGAGAAUCCCGUAUUUGACCUUUACUUUCAACUUUGUGAUACACUUUCAAAGAGUCGGAUUGUUUGGGAAUGCAGUCCAAAAUGGGUGGUAAAUUUCAUCUAAAGCUAAAUAUUGGCGAGAGACCGAUAGCGAACAAGUACCGUGAGGGAAAGAUGAAAAGAACUUUGAAAAGAGAGUUAAACAGUACGUGAAAUUGUCAAAAGGGAAGCGUUUGACACCAGUGUUGUUUUUCUGAAAACUCAAUUAAAGAACUGUUUAUGCUAAGUUGUUUAGACUUUAUCAGCUAUCUGUUUAGUUUUGAGCUUUUCUUUAAUGCACUUUUCAGUUAACAAGUCAACAUCAAUUUCUUUUGCUGUAAAAAAGCUUGAGGAAGGUGGCUUGAGAUUCGUCUUAAGUGUUUAUAGCCUCUUGCCUAUGCAGUCGGAGAGAUUGAGGUCUGCAGCGUAGAUCCUUCGGGGCUAAAUGCAUUUGUGCUAAGUUAUAGCAUUUUAUAGACAACUUGUUGACUAUGAUUUGUCUUGUAGCUUACUCGCUUAUGUUAUUUUACCUACGCUUAGGAUGUUGAGCGCAUGUCUCUCUCU
This 775-nucleotide ribosomal RNA is filed under the name uncultured Neocallimastigales. RNAcentral describes it as "partial large subunit ribosomal RNA". It matches the Rfam family "Eukaryotic large subunit ribosomal RNA", at positions 23 to 616 of the family's 3401-position model. The record is from RNAcentral. Lineage: Eukaryota; Fungi; Neocallimastigomycota; Neocallimastigomycetes; Neocallimastigales.